GCAGAUAUGGCCGAGUGGUUAAGGCGACUGACUCGAGAUCAGUUUCCAUCUUGGAGCGUAGGUUCGAAUCCUACUAUCUGCG
This 82-nucleotide transfer RNA is filed under the name Daphnia pulex (common water flea). It matches the Rfam family "tRNA". Rfam says of the family: Transfer RNA (tRNA) molecules are approximately 80 nucleotides in length. Their secondary structure includes four short double-helical elements and three loops (D, anti-codon, and T loops). The record is from Rfam by way of RNAcentral. Lineage: Eukaryota; Metazoa; Arthropoda; Branchiopoda; Diplostraca; Daphniidae.